UCUUCUUCCUGAGGAGACUGAAGAAGUUUGGCAUGGAUUCAGUCAUCCUCACCAAUUUCUACAGAUGCACAAUAGAAAGCAUCCUGACUGGGUGCAUCACAGUGUGGGAGCUGCACAGCCAAGGACCGCAAGGCCCUACGCAGUGUGGUCAGGACUGCGGAGUUCAUCAUCGAUGCUGUCAGAAAGAAUCACUCAACACAUCGUCCACUGGCGACCAGGUUCUUAAGCACGCCAUUCGAUGGUUCAACCUGGCAGCAGACCGGGGUAGCUCCAGGAGGCGUGCUACUGUAGACGUCCCCCACACUGAACAGACUUAAAAUAUAUCUUUUUUAAAUGUGUGUGUAUAUAAAUUUGUCCUUUCAAAUAAAAAACUGUUUGACAUUA
Long non-coding RNA from Pseudoliparis swirei, 384 nucleotides. RefSeq lists it as uncharacterized. NCBI's taxonomy places the organism in Eukaryota, Metazoa, Chordata, Actinopteri, Perciformes, Liparidae. The transcript is spliced from 2 exons. The record is from RefSeq and is a predicted model, not a curated record.